GGUAUCAUUCCUUAGUCUGUGGACCAUCCCUAUGAAGUUUGCUGCAUUCAUUCAGUCCAUGAUCUCUUGUAACCGUCCUUCAGGGCAGGAGACAUGGUGUGUGGUGUUGGAUUGUUGCCUGAUGAUGUCACCACUGAGCUCAUCUGGUCUCGUCGAAGUUCAUUCUUUGCUGGGGUGAUGAUCUGAGGGAUGUCAGGUUCAGUCGAUGAUGACCUGAGAACAGGACUGGGAGACUCCUGCUGCUGGUUUUUCCCAUGACUGUUCUCUGCUGAUGAUCAUGACGGUACAUAUUUUCAGAGCCCAGAGUGGCAGAGACAGGCAUAUAGCUGAUGGGCUAUAGAAGCCUUAUAUAGCAGGCAACAGCAUGUAAUUAAGUUUAUUGUCUGUUUUCCCCAAAAUUAAAUCCCCUUGAGGUACACACCAGACUUCCGCAUCUUCUCACAUAAUCCACCAAUUAUAUCCAGGUUCCUGAGCAAAAGCAAUCCCACGACUGCGUUUGCCUUUACCUGAAGAAGGAAUAACCCGGACUGUCUUCCCCAGCAAAUUCUUUAUGUGCACCACAGGAACUUCAUCCCCCUCUGCAGUACAUAAAAGUUCCGAUUGGGCUGGGCUAGCCCUGUUGGCAGAUCCCCUAGUGUUGACCAACCAGGUGGCUUUUGGUAAAUGUGUACCCCAAUGUUUGAAAGUCCCACUGCCCAUUGCUCUCAGUGUAGUUUUUAACAGGCCAUUGUACCGUUCAAUUUUCCCAGAGGCUGAUGGGGAUGUGCUGUGGGGACAGCCAUGAUGUGCUGUGGUAUAGAAGAAACUACUAGGAAGAAAAUUAACUGUUAAGCUGAAACCAGCACAGCAGUGUAAUUUUAAUUACCAUUUCUAAAGCAAUGCAUAAAAAGAGUAUAAAAUUUUUCAUUGCAGGUUGAUUAGCUAGAAGAAAUGUCAGGUAGGCAAAUUGGUGCAAUUCUUACUAAAAAGCUGAUUCUGAAUAAUAUUCAAAGUAUCAUGUAACAGAAGGCUUUUGUGUCUGUAUAUAAAAUUGACAGGAUCGUUCCAUUGUCUGAUAAGUCAGUAACUGGCAAGAGGCAACCAGCUGAUUUACCUUUAAGCAGAAGUAUAUAUAUUCACUCAGUAAGGUAUAUGAUACCUCUCUUUGUAUGCUUACAACUGUUGUAGCUUGUAAUGUUAGUGGAAUUCCAUAAAGUGAUGCCCUGAUCAGCAAGGAACUGGGGUGUGCAUUUAAGUUUUAUCCUACUGAAACCAGUGCUGCUUAUAUGCUUUAAGUUGGUGCCCCUAAAGUAUCUUGCUGAAAUGGCAGUUGGCACAUUAGCAUAUGCUCCAAUUCAGUCUUUUAUUUGUCUGUAUCUUCAUGUUACCAUACGAUAGAUCAUUGAGAGCAGUUCCAUAAAUGUGAUAAUGUAGAAGGUACUGCUACCUUAAAGGUUUUUUGUUUUUUGUUUUUGUAACAUAAUUGACUCCUUCGAUUCAUCACAGUAUUACAUGUGAAUAUUCAGUAAAUAUUAUUGAUACACUUUUAUUUAAAUUCAGGCUGUACAGUAAAUGGUAUUUUUGACAUAGAUGGAUAAAGGAAUUCAUAUCACUACUGUUUGCAAGUUUAUCGUAAGAUCAUUUAGCUUCAGCAGUUGGUUUGUUAUUAGAUUUUACUCUAAAAGUGUACUUUAUUGGCAUUUAAAACUGAGCAGUGAUUAUUUCUGUUGCUGCAGUUUUGAUCUCAGAGGUUGCCUACCCAGGGGAUUUAUUCCAUAGUAAACUUUAGUGUGAAUUUAGCUGUUGUAAGCAAGCGUCUCCUGGACUGUUGGCAUGUGAAGUUGCUGUAUAUUUACAGCCUACUUUUCUGCAUAGUUAGUUUUUCAUGCAGAUGAACUGUCAGAAUAAACUACUUACUACUUAUUGCCCAGUGGUUUUUCUUAGCAUUUGUCUCAAUUUCUGGUCAAUUACAGAUGCUCUUGUGAAAUCCUUUCUGUGCUGUAUAAAGCCAAUGUUUGGUGGAACCAAGGUUCUAAAGACUAAAGAGGGAACACUAAACGCUAAAGAAGGAACUGAACUUUUUCAGUUUAAUGUGAAUCACGCUAUUGCUUGACAUUUUCACUUGAGUUGUAUUUCACUGUGUAGAUCAGAUCAGGCUAUGUCAUUGGAAAACCUAUUGUGUUUCAGCCAUGGACUGUGUUCCCAUCACAGUGGCUAUAAGCCUUAAGACUUUAAAAAGGUCAAAAAUAAGGUCCUUUCCUUUUGCAAAACCUUAGUUGUUUUUUGUUUGUUUGUUUUGUUUUUUUUAACCUGUUCCUUCUGUGCUUAUCUUCAGCUGCCAAUGGCCCCAAGCGGUUUCCUACCCCUCAAGGACUAAGGGUGGUGAGGAGUAAGGAAGGCCUUGUGGAAAAAGAUAAAAAAGCACUGUGUUAUGGAAUACUCUACUAGCCUAUAUUUUUAGGGAAUCCAGCAAGUGAUCCAAGGGAUAGCUGUAAUAUUUUGAUAGUAAGAAAGUGACUACCAUGAAAUGAACCAGGACAGGCAGGUGUAGCUUUGAUUUUACUUGCAAGGAGUUUUGAGGUGUUAGGUAACGUGUCUAUCUUUUGGACUGUUUUGUGAUACCUGCAUGACAUCAUCACUAAAUGUCUCUUGCCAUUUGAUAAUAAAGCUAUUACAUAAAACAUGGAACAUUGUAUCUUUUAGUACAAUGAAGCAUACUAAACUUCACAUUAAGCUUAUCUUUUUUAUUGACCUGUUUAAAAGGGAUGAAUUCUUCUUAAAUGGUGUUUUUAAUGACUGAUUAAAAAUUAAACUGAGCUGUUUACAUCUGUAGAUGAGAUUAAUUUUGUUUCUACCUCUAUUUCAGAAUAUGUAGAUAAACUUGACUUUUCUAAUUUUUCACAACAGUAAUUUUGAAAAGUUUUUGUAUUUUGCACUGAAAGGCAUAAUUUGCUUUUUUUAUGAAUUCUUGAUGAAAGGCUCAUGUGCUGAAGUUAUAAUUCAUCUUCCCUUUAUAUUCUGUUCUUUCCAGUUUAUGAAAUUCUCUUUUUGUGCCUUGUAUAGAAAAUUGAUGCUGAAAGCUUGCCAAAAGGUUAAGAAAACAGAAGUAAAAAGGUGUGAAGUCUUUCUUAAAAAGUUAGUGAAUGAUACUAUUAUGUAAAGUCAAAGCAUGGCUUUUGUUGUUAGGUAACUCUGAAAGAUUUUUGUGUGCUGUUCCUGAGCCUAUUCAUCCUGUAUAGUUUCUGUGAUAACCUAUUUUUAUGACAGUAACGACACGUGUGGAUUGCUCUGCUUUGCAUUAGAACUGAUGUAUGUUUCCUGCCUCAUACUCUGCCGUUCACUGGGAUUAAGCUGCCCUACCAGCAGAACAGACUCAGCCAGGUAGCUGAUCCAGGACUGAAAUACCCAGCAGUUACUGCAGUAUACAAGGAAGAAUUUGGGUCUGGAUUAUGAGAGCUAAAUUGAUGACUGGUGUAUAACUAUGCAAGAGGCCUUGUAAAAGCUUCUUUCUGUAGAUGGUCUUCAAAGCACAGAAAAUUCUGCUUCUGCACAUCUCUAGGACUUCAAUAUCAUCUUCAUAGCCUCAGGAGGUCAGCAGGCUCUGGAGAGGAGUGGAGUGCCACAGUGGGACAUACCUUUUAAAAUUUUGCAUUGUAACUAAAAUGUAAUGUUACGGGAGUAACUUCUGAUGUUUCUUUCACAACACUUGCCCUUGAGCAGUUGUAUCCAAUAAUUUGGAAUUUGCAGUGUUUACUGUACUUGGAAAAAUUCUAUGCCAUGAAAAGGGGCUUUGAGCAAAUCACAAUUCCACAGACUUUCUCAACAUCAUAAAUAAUACUUAGAAGAAUUCAUAAUAUAGUUUAGUGUUGUGGCCUUACUCAAGAACAUCUAAGCAAUUCACAAAGUUUACUGACAAAAUUGCCAUAUUUUGGGUGUUUCCUGUGAUGGGAAUAUUGCUCAAGAAGACUGACAGAUUAAAGCUACUAGCCUUUGAAUUAGG
Long non-coding RNA from Pezoporus flaviventris, 3979 nucleotides. RefSeq lists it as uncharacterized. The transcript has 2 exons. The record is from RefSeq and is a predicted model, not a curated record. NCBI's taxonomy places the organism in Eukaryota, Metazoa, Chordata, Aves, Psittaciformes, Psittacidae.